UUACGGUCAAAUCACAUCAAAAACACUAGUUAUCAUUUGAUCACAGAAGUUAAGCAGUGCUGAGCCCAGUCAGUAAGUACUUAGAUGGGCGACCACUUGGGAACACUAGGUAGUGU
This is a non-coding RNA of Acanthosepion pharaonis, 116 nucleotides long. NCBI's taxonomy places the organism in Eukaryota, Metazoa, Mollusca, Cephalopoda, Sepiida, Sepiidae. The record is from the annotation of a GenBank genome assembly.